UGUAUUUAAGAAAGAUUAAGGGAGGC
This 26-nucleotide non-coding RNA is filed under the name Rattus norvegicus (Norway rat). Lineage: Eukaryota; Metazoa; Chordata; Mammalia; Rodentia; Muridae. The record is from RNAcentral.